GAGAUCAAAGCCUUGAAGCUUUAUUAACUACUUAGUGAAGGUCAUUGAUGAGUGGUGAAGAUGUUUGAUUACGGCUGGAUCCUUGUGGAGCUGGGACAGUCUAUAUCAGAUUAAUUUUCAGUGGGGCGUUGGAUUCGGCGGCUGUUUUUGGUAACAAUGUGCUAGAAUUAUCACACACUGUAAUUUUGUUUGUACUAAAUUUACAGGUUUUGCUCAGCUAGAACUUGAAUUACAUAGUCACUGCACAUUGAGAAUGUCUCAACUAUUGUUACACUGAACUGUUAGCAAUACUUGUUGGCAAAUGGUUAGAGAAAUAAAUUUCUGUGUUAGUUUUGUUUUUUAAGUAAUCAAUGUACAACUCCUCCAAAAGUAAUCAUGUACAAUGAAUUUUUGAAUUCUUUAUUUCGCAUGAAUGGUCUCUAUUCC
RNAcentral lists this long non-coding RNA (426 nucleotides) under Medicago truncatula (barrel medic). Its description in RNAcentral is "lncRNA gene44876". The record is from RNAcentral. Lineage: Eukaryota; Viridiplantae; Streptophyta; Magnoliopsida; Fabales; Fabaceae.